AUUGAACGCUGGCGGCAGGCUUAACACAUGCAAGUCGAGCGGGGUGAUGGUGCUUGCACUAUCACUUAGCGGCGGACGGGUGAGUAAUGCUUAGGAAUCUGCCUAUUAGUGGGGGACAACAUCUCGAAAGGGAUGCUAAUACCGCAUACGUCCUACGGGAGAAAGCAGGGGAUCACUUGUGACCUUGCGCUAAUAGAUGAGCCUAAGUCGGAUUAGCUAGUUGGUGGGGUAAAGGCCUACCAAGGCGACGAUCUGUAGCGGGUCUGAGAGGAUGAUCCGCCACACUGGGACGGAGACACGGCCAGACUCCUACGGGAGGCAGCAGUGGGGAAUAUUGGACAAUGGGGGGAACCCUGAUCCAGCCAUGCCGCGUGUGUGAAGAAGGCCUUAUGGUUGUAAAGCACUUUAAGCGAGGAGGAGGCUCUUUUGGUUAAUACCCAAGAUGAGUGGACGUUACUCGCAGAAUAAGCACCGGCUAACUCUGUGCCAGCCGCCGCUGUAA
This 502-nucleotide ribosomal RNA is filed under the name uncultured bacterium. Its description in RNAcentral is "partial 16S ribosomal RNA". It matches the Rfam family "Bacterial small subunit ribosomal RNA", at positions 30 to 523 of the family's 1533-position model. The record is from RNAcentral.